CACAAUUUGGGGGGGAAGUGAUUUGGGGGGGGCGUCCCCAAACACUUUGUGUAACGUCUGGGGAGGGCUGUAACCCCUACGGUGUUUAUGGGGGGGGGCCAUGACCCUCUGCCCCCCCCCCAGUUAUGCUGUGUCCCCCCCCCCAGGGUGGCGAAGCAGAGCCGGGGGGCCCCCCACUGGCUGCGGAGGGACCUGCGGGUGCGCUGCGUGGACAAAGCCUUCCAGGGGGGGCGCUUCUACAACUGCAAGAUGGUGGUGGAGGACCUGCUCUCCCCCGACACCUGCGUUUGCCGGACGGACGAGGGGCGCCUGGUGGACGGCCUGCAGGAGGCCAUGCUGGAGACCGUCAUUCCCCGGGGCGACGCCGACCGCGUCAUGGUGGUGCUGGGCGAGCAUGCUGGCAAGGUGAGCGCCCCCCCCAGCCCCAUUUCCAUCGCUGGGGGGGGUCCUGUUGGAGCUCCCCCCCCCCAAAUUUUAACCCUCCCCCCCCAAUUCCAGGUGGGCCAGAUUCUGGAGCGGGACCCAUCGAGGAGCCGGGCGCUGGUGCAGCUGCAGCGCGAGGCGGGCUCGAGGGUGCUGGCGCUGGAUUACGACGCCAUCUGCCAUUUUCUGGGGGGGCACGAAGACGAUUGAGACCCCCCCCCCCCCCGGGAAAAACAAGGGCACCCACCAGCUUCCAACAUGGCCGCCUCAGCUUCAGGGGGAAUAAACAGCGCCAAAACAAGUUGCUGAUGUCCUCGGCUUUGCGGGGACGGCCCCGUUUGGGAACCCAGGCGUCUUGGUGAGGCCCCCCCCGGCAAAAAAAACCUCGCUGGAGCCCCCCCGCGCCGGCUGCAGGCAUAGCUGCGCGUUUGCCAGCUUCCAAGAUGGCGGAGAGGGCGGCUGCUGGAGCUGCCAGCUUCCAACAUGGCGCGUUGCUAGGGGC
Molecule: long non-coding RNA, 925 nt
Filed under: Anser brachyrhynchus (Pink-footed goose)
Lineage: Eukaryota; Metazoa; Chordata; Aves; Anseriformes; Anatidae
Description: lncRNA (ENSABRG00000017935.1)
Source: RNAcentral